GGGUUCAUGGCCUAAUGGUAAGGCGUCAGAUUUCGGUCCCAUCUAUGGUAUACCAGUUCUCUGAAGAUUGCAGGUUCGAUCCCUGCUGAGCUCG
Molecule: non-coding RNA, 94 nt
Organism: Annulohypoxylon moriforme
Lineage: Eukaryota; Fungi; Ascomycota; Sordariomycetes; Xylariales; Hypoxylaceae
Source: the annotation of a GenBank genome assembly